This 333-nucleotide ribosomal RNA is filed under the name uncultured bacterium. Its description in RNAcentral is "bacterial SSU rRNA". It matches the Rfam family "Bacterial small subunit ribosomal RNA", at positions 568 to 898 of the family's 1533-position model. The record is from RNAcentral.
UGUGUAGGCGGCCGUGCCAGUCUGGUGUGAAAUCUUCACCGCUCACCGGGAAGGAGUCACUGGAUACUGCACGGCUCGAGUAUGGUAGAGGCGAGCGGAAUUCCAGGUGUAGCGGUGGAAUGUGUAGAUAUCUGGAAGAACACCGGUGGCGAAGGCGGCUCGCUGGGCCAUCACUGACGCUGAAACACGAAAGCGUGGGGAGCAAACGGGAUUAGAUACCCCGGUAGUCCACGCUGUAAACGGUGCGCACUAGGUGUGGGGGGUAUCGACCCCCCCUGUGCCGACGCAAACGCAUUAAGUGCGCCGCCUGGGGAGUACGGCCGCAAGGUUGAA